UACCUCCAAAAUGAUCUUCUUCAGCGCUGGAGUGUUGCACAUCACAUCGUCACCGGAAUCGGCAAUCCCAACGAAAGUUGGUUUCUCAGGAAGGGAUCUCUUCUUUCUUCCGCAUCCUCCGCAUCCACCUCCACAACAUGGUGGAGGUGGUGG
Non-coding RNA from Caenorhabditis elegans, 153 nucleotides. The record is from Ensembl. NCBI's taxonomy places the organism in Eukaryota, Metazoa, Nematoda, Chromadorea, Rhabditida, Rhabditidae.